Molecule: RNA transcript, 2030 nt
Organism: Hordeum vulgare subsp. vulgare (domesticated barley)
Lineage: Eukaryota; Viridiplantae; Streptophyta; Magnoliopsida; Poales; Poaceae
Exons: 7
Source: RefSeq, a predicted model, not a curated record
AGGUACACACAACAACACAAAUAAAUUACAACCAGACGAUUACAUAACUUAAUUUAAUCUAACCGUCGAAAUUAAACAAACCCACCUUCGAAGUGCGUUUAGCGUUUUUUCUGGCGGACGAAAACUCUGCCGUCCCCCGUUUAGCACAAAUCCCACAUCCUCGCCCUGCCCCUGCCCGCACCCUUUGCCCAUUCGGUGCCUCCAUGCCGCCGCCAGGGACGUGACCGGCCUCGCCUCGCACCGCCGUCAAUGGGAACUUGGACUGCCUCACCUUGCAUCGCCGUCUGCCCCUCGCGGCCUCGCCCCUUCCCCUCCUCCCACACCCGCGCACUUGAUCCCCCUCGCACCAUGGAGUCCUCGACCGCCGCCGCGCACGCCGAGGCCACCUCCCACACCAACUUCGCGGAGUCCACCGAGGCCGUCCUCGACCUUGUCUGCGCCGACUGCGGCAAGCCAUGCCGCUCCGAGACUGAGGUGGACCUGCACAAGAAGCGCACGGGCCACGCCGAGUUCACGGACAAGACCAUGGAGGCGGCCAAUCCCAUCGAUCUCGAGGCACCGCCGAAGCCGGCCGCGGAGGCCAAGGAUGUGGACGCGUCGGGGAGUGCGGAGCCGCAACAUUUGGUGGCGCCAGAGGUGAACAAGGGGAUGCUUGGGGAACUCGAAUCGAUGGGCUUUUCGGUUGCGCGUGCCACUAGGGCACUUCACUUCUCCGGUGGCGCGGUGGAGGAGGAGUACGAGGAUGUGCUGCGGCGGCUCUCCUCUCUCAUCACGCAGAAGGUGCAGGCGCACACCGGCAACCAGGGGCAACCAGUGGGAAAACAUGGACGCUACCUCCAGACCCAUCCCUUCCUCCUUGUGCACCACAUGAAUCACGAUUGGGGAAUGUGUUGUCUGAUGCGGGUGAAUGAAGGUCAGCCAUGUAUGCGGGACCAUAUACAAGUAAUGUGGCACUCUAAUUUGGUGUUGGCAUCCAAGCAACUAUGUGAAACAAUGAAGUUUUAUCAAACUGCAACACUUCAUAUUCGUCAGUACAAAGGGCACUACGGUGGGAAGGUAGACCCUGUUAUUGUUGGUGCAUUCCGGAAGAGAUGGUCCUGAUGGUCGAGGUAUUCGAGUCUUCCAUGUUAACUGUGCUUAUUAUUACAUAACCUCCACCAUUUUGUUAAUCAUGCAUGGUUCAAACAUUUAGAUUUUGGUUAAGCAUUUUUCUCUACGUAAAUCAUGCAGAAUAAAUAUAUCAGUUUUCUUAUCUGGACCUUUAAUGGCCUUCUUUUAUACCCAUGCAUUUUUCUUCUGUUCACUUAUAAUUUAAUGGCCUUCUUCUACACCUUUAAUGUCCUGAUGAACUUGUUACUACAGAGUUUUCCACAUUCAUUCUAUGCCCAUUACUCAUUUGCUUCGUAAGUUCCUACAAUAUUGUUUAUGUUGAUUUAUUCCACUCAUAAUCAUAAUUCUCCGGGCCGCCGUCGCCGCCACGUUGAGGCCUUGGACACCAAGCGACAUCCUUUCCCAUGAGGCUUAAUUCAGUACAUGCUUCUCUGAAUUUCUACGAGCUUAAUUCACCACCCAACCGGAGCACCAACUAAUAUCUCUCACAGUGUUUUCAAUUGUACACUCAAGUGCAGGAACAAUAGAUCAUUGGGAGUGCUUCUACUUGAGUUCAUAUUCGGUGUAUAUUCCAGUUGUAAUAUGCCCCCAAACUGUAGCAUUGGCACUAUCUUGCCUGUUCGCUCAUGCCAGGAGCAGUAUUGCGUGCCACUAUGACAUCUGCAUGCCCAUGACGGUCUGUGGCAUGGUUGGGCAAGAGCGGAUUCUCGCCCGUCACGAAAGGGCGCAGGAGAUAGUGAAGGUGUUAGUGCUGGUUGUUGUUGUGAUGGUGCAUGUGACCGGAUAGUGGCAUCGCUGAAGCCUAAAUUACCUAAAGCCUACAUUAGAGGAUGUAUUCAUUCAUUUGUUUGUCUUGAUUUUGAAAUUGUUCAACAAAUUUUCAGGGUUAUAUUUUUAUGGUAAAGGUGUUUUCUUUUUUU